This 468-nucleotide ribosomal RNA is filed under the name uncultured bacterium. Its description in RNAcentral is "partial 16S ribosomal RNA". It matches the Rfam family "Bacterial small subunit ribosomal RNA", at positions 28 to 507 of the family's 1533-position model. The record is from RNAcentral.
GACGAACGCUGGCGGCGUGCUUAACACAUGCAAGUCGAACGGAAAGGCCCUGCACUUGUGGGGUGCUCGAGUGGCGAACGGGUGAGUAACACGUGAGUAACCUGCCCUUGACUUUGGGAUAACUUCAGGAAACUGGGGCUAAUACCGGAUAGGAGCUCCUGCUGCAUGGUGGGGGUUGGAAAGAUUCGGCGGUUGGGGAUGGACUCGCGGCUUAUCAGCUUGUUGGUGAGGUAGUGGCUUACCAAGGCGUUGACGGGUAGCCGGCCUGAGAGGGUGACCGGCCACAUUGGGACUGAGGUACGGCCCAGACUCCUACGGGAGGCAGCAGUGGGGAAUAUUGCACAAUGGGCGGAAGCCUGAUGCAGCAACGCCGCGUGCGGGAUGACGGCCUUCGGGUUGUAAACCGCUUUCGCCUGUGACGAAGCGUGAGUGACGGUAAUGGGUAAAGAAGCACCGGCUAACUACGUG